AUUGAACGCUGGCGGCAUGCCUUACACAUGCAAGUCGAACGGUAACAGGUUAAGCUGACGCGUGGCGAACGGGUGAGUAAUACAUCGGAACGUGCCCAGUAGUGGGGGAUAGCCCGGCGAAAGCCGGAUUAAUACCGCAUACGACCUAAGGGUGAAAGGGGGGGCUCGCAAGACCUCUCGCUAUUGGAGCGGCCGAUGUCAGAUUAGCUAGUUGGUGGGGUAAAAGCUCACCAAGGCGACGAUCUGUAGCUGGUCUGAGAGGACGACCAGCCACACUGGAACUGAGACACGGCCCAGACUCCUACGGGAGGCAGCAGUGGGGAAUUUUGGACAAUGGGCGCAAGCCUGAUCCAGCCAUGCCGCGUGCGGGAAGAAGGCCUUCGGGUUGUAAACCGCUUUUGUCAGGGAAGAAAUCCUUUGGGUUAAUACCUCGGGGGGAUGACGGUACCUGAAGAAUAAGCACCGGCUAACUACGUG
This 477-nucleotide ribosomal RNA is filed under the name uncultured bacterium. RNAcentral describes it as "partial 16S ribosomal RNA". It matches the Rfam family "Bacterial small subunit ribosomal RNA", at positions 30 to 507 of the family's 1533-position model. The record is from RNAcentral.